CUCGCGAUAGCUCAGCUGGUGGAGCAUCUACCCGGCAUGCGGAGGGUCGCCGGUUUGAUUCCGGCUCGCGGCA
Molecule: transfer RNA, 73 nt
Filed under: Fasciola gigantica
Lineage: Eukaryota; Metazoa; Platyhelminthes; Trematoda; Plagiorchiida; Fasciolidae
Rfam family: tRNA
About the family: Transfer RNA (tRNA) molecules are approximately 80 nucleotides in length. Their secondary structure includes four short double-helical elements and three loops (D, anti-codon, and T loops).
Source: Rfam by way of RNAcentral